GGGAUGGAGCAGUCUGGUAGCUCGUCGGGCUCAUAACCCGAAGGUCGUAGGUUCAAAUCCUGCUCNCUUUA
This 71-nucleotide transfer RNA is filed under the name Enterococcus hirae. RNAcentral's name for it is "tRNA-Met". It matches the Rfam family "tRNA". From Rfam's summary of the family: Transfer RNA (tRNA) molecules are approximately 80 nucleotides in length. Their secondary structure includes four short double-helical elements and three loops (D, anti-codon, and T loops). Lineage: Bacteria; Bacillati; Bacillota; Bacilli; Lactobacillales; Enterococcaceae. The record is from RNAcentral.